CAGGGCUACACACGUGCUACAAUGGCGCAUACAAAGAGAAGCGACCUCGCGAGAGCAAGCGGACCUCAUAAAGUGCGUCGUAGUCCGGAUUGGAGUCUGCAACUCGACUCCAUGAAGUCGGAAUCGCUAGUAAUCGUGGAUCAGAAUGCCACGGUGAAUACGUUCCCGGGCCUUGUACACACCGCCCGUCACACCAUGGGAGUGGGUUGCAAAAGAAGUAGGUAGCUUAACCUUCGGGAGGGCGCUUACCACUUUGUGAUUCAUGACUGGGGUGAAGUCGUAACAAGGUAACCGUAGGGGAACCUGCGGUUGGA
This 314-nucleotide ribosomal RNA is filed under the name Salmonella enterica subsp. enterica serovar Paratyphi B var. L(+) tartrate +. RNAcentral describes it as "bacterial SSU rRNA". It matches the Rfam family "Bacterial small subunit ribosomal RNA", at positions 1209 to 1522 of the family's 1533-position model. The record is from RNAcentral. Lineage: Bacteria; Pseudomonadati; Pseudomonadota; Gammaproteobacteria; Enterobacterales; Enterobacteriaceae.